CGUCAAAGCCCCCCUUUGGCAUUUUCUUGCAGAUUCCUGCUCACACAUUUUCUGCUGCCUGACCCAGGACCCAGACGUCCCAUCUGCAGAUAGGCGAUUUCGGAGGACAGGAACAGGACAGGACACGCACCCUCUUGCACCACACAGCAGCACCGCCGCCACCACCACAGACAUGUCGGACUCUGAAGCCGCCGCCGCCCCCGCCGAGGCCCCCGUCCCCGCUGCUUGUGCCAGCAUCAAGGCUGACCUGGACAAAUGUGUGGCGGAGAAGGGAGCCGAGGGCUGCAAAGAUCUGAUGGAGGCCUUCGCUGCUUGUGUGAAGAGCGCCGCUGAGGGGACGUCAUGAGGAGUCGCCCUCCAGCCUCAAAUGUCCACUGCACUGAGUCCUCCAAGUUCCCAGCAUUCCCUUCUGCACAACAGCACUGGACUGAACGAUGACAACAACAACGACGACGAC
Long non-coding RNA from Stegastes partitus (bicolor damselfish), 457 nucleotides. RefSeq lists it as uncharacterized. NCBI's taxonomy places the organism in Eukaryota, Metazoa, Chordata, Actinopteri, Pomacentridae. The transcript is spliced from 4 exons. The record is from RefSeq and is a predicted model, not a curated record.